GACGAACGCUGGCGGCGUGCUUAACACAUGCAAGUCGAACGAAGAGUGAUGGAAGCUUGCUUCUAUCGAUCUUAGUGGCGAACGGGUGAGUAACGCGUAAUCAACCUGCCCUUCAGAGGGGGACAACAGUUGGAAACGACUGCUAAUACCGCAUACGAUCUAAUCUCGGCAUCGAGGAUGGAUGAAAGGUGGCCUCUAUUUAUAAGCUAUCACUGAAGGAGGGGAUUGCGUCUGAUUAGCUAGUUGGAGGGGUAACGGCCCACCAAGGCGAUGAUCAGUAGCCGGUCUGAGAGGAUGAACGGCCACAUUGGGACUGAGACACGGCCCAGACUCCUACGGGAGGCAGCAGUGGGGAAUCUUCCGCAAUGGACGAAAGUCUGACGGAGCAACGCCGCGUGAGUG
RNAcentral lists this ribosomal RNA (402 nucleotides) under uncultured organism. RNAcentral describes it as "SSU rRNA". It matches the Rfam family "Bacterial small subunit ribosomal RNA", at positions 28 to 407 of the family's 1533-position model. The record is from RNAcentral.